UGUGAUAAAAUAUCACGACCAGAAGCAACU
Molecule: non-coding RNA, 30 nt
Filed under: Mus musculus (house mouse)
Lineage: Eukaryota; Metazoa; Chordata; Mammalia; Rodentia; Muridae
Also listed under: 1 other name
Source: RNAcentral